Long non-coding RNA from Terrapene triunguis (Three-toed box turtle), 571 nucleotides. RefSeq lists it as uncharacterized. The record is from RefSeq and is a predicted model, not a curated record. The transcript has 3 exons. NCBI's taxonomy places the organism in Eukaryota, Metazoa, Chordata, Testudines, Emydidae.
AGGAGAGGGAGCAUCCUAGAGGUGACAGUGUCAGCCAAAGAGGGACAUUGGCUAAGGUCCACCCCGUGAGCUGGAGACAUGCCAGUUAACAACAGGGGCAAAAACAGAACAUGGAGAACAGAAUGGGAGAAAGGAAUUUGUCUCGGCAAGGAAGUGUCUACACAGCGGUGCUAUAGCUGUGCUGCUCUACUGCCAUGUAGACAUAACCUGGGACUCAGCAGAUGAUGGCUCAGACACAGGGGUCCCAGAGGAGGACAAACUCCCAAGAAAGAGUGAGCUCGUUUCCCUGGAAAUGUUAAAUCCUGUCCAUGCUGAAGACAAGGAGGAAUAGUGCCAUUGACUUCAACUGGACCAGUUCUUGGCCUUUAGAAAUGAUUCCGGAUCAGACAAAAUAAAAAGGGUGCUCAGUGGGGGUGGGGGUCAACCAAUUAGCAUUUAAUGAACCAAUGGCGAUCCCCUUAGGAAAUCCAUCCCUAAACCCAAAUGUUCCUGUACAGUAGGGGUCUCAAACCCAAUUUACCUUAGGGCCAGUGCCAGUCCUCAAAUCCUCCCAGAGGGCCAAUAAUGUCAC